GAUGAAGAACGUAGCGAAAUGCGAUAAGUAAUGUGAAUUGCAGAAUUCAGUGAAUCAUCGAAUCUUUGAACGCACAUUGCGCCCGCCAGUAUUCUGGCGGGCAUGCCUGUUCGAGCGUCAUUUCAACCCUCAAGCCCCAGGCUUGUGUUGGGGACCUGCGGCUGCCGCAGGCCCUGAAAACCAGUGGCGGGCUCGCUGUCACACCGGGCGUAGUAGAUUUUAUCUCGCUCUGGGCGUGCUGCGGGUUCCGGCCGUUAAAAAACCCUUUUAACCCAAGGUUGACCUCGGAUCAGGUAGGAAUACCCGCUGAACUUAAGCAUAUCAAUAAGCGGAGGA
Molecule: unclassified non-coding RNA, 336 nt
Filed under: soil metagenome
Description: partial contains 5.8S ribosomal RNA, internal transcribed spacer 2, and large subunit ribosomal RNA
Rfam family: 5.8S ribosomal RNA (bases 1-120)
Source: RNAcentral